GGGCUCCUGAAGCUGCGUGCUUGGUUGAAGAGGAUGACCAUCCCCGACAGAGGACCAGUCUUUGGUCAAGGGUGUAUGAACAGCUGCACUCCCGUCCUAGAACCUCCAAAUGAGCUCUCAAGGUCCAAAGUGUGAGAGAGUGGCCGGGAGUGGU
This 154-nucleotide small RNA is filed under the name Cebus imitator (Panamanian white-faced capuchin). RNAcentral describes it as "7SK RNA (ENSCCAG00000015075.1)". It matches the Rfam family "7SK RNA", at positions 116 to 273 of the family's 331-position model. Rfam says of the family: 7SK was discovered as an abundant small nuclear RNA in the mid-70s but a possible function has only recently been suggested. Lineage: Eukaryota; Metazoa; Chordata; Mammalia; Primates; Cebidae. The record is from RNAcentral.